CACGGGACCACAGAGACACAGGAGGACAGUGUUGAAAAUGUGGCAUCACUUCCUGUUUCUCUGGAAAUCACCACGCUGCUGUGGAGCCUGAUGAUCCUCGUGGUCCUGAACUGGACUCAGCUGAGACUCACCAGCUCUUAGCGUCCGUCUGAUCACCUGACCCCCCCCCAAACAUGGCCGCCAUCACCUGGGAAGGAUGGAGGGGGAGGGGGAGGGGGGGGCAGUGGACAUGAGAAAUCGUCUCUGAUCUAAAAGGAGGCGUCAAGAAACAUUUAGAAGAGAAUAAAUAAAGAAUAUAAGAAUCGUCCAGACAUCACAUCAACACCUGGUCUCACCUGGUCUCACCUGUCCAUCUACCUGGUCUCACCCGAUCUCACCUGUCCAUCUACCUGGUCUCACCUGGUCUCACCUGGUCUCACCUGGUCUCCCCUGUCCAUCUACCUGUCCAUCUACCUGGUCUCACCUCGUCUCACUUGGUCUCACUUGGUCUCACCUGGUCUCACUUGGUCUCACCUGUCCAUCUACCCGGUCUCCCCUGUCCAUCUACCUGUCCAUCUACCCGGUCUCACCUGGUCUCACCUGGUCUCCCCUGUCCAUCUACCUGUCCAUCUACCUGGUCUCACCUGUCCAUCUACCUGGUCUUAAUUAACACGUAUCAGCUGCUGUCUCUGGUGGAUCUCUACCCACCACUGGACCAGAACCAGGACCGAAUGUUUUGUAGCUGAGUUUGGUUCUCAGCUCGGGUCAGUAGGUGGUCUUUAAUGGACCAGGACCCUGACGUGGACUCUAGAGACCAGGUGAGGAUGAUGUUGAUGUGACGUGUGAACGAGGUCUUAUUGAAUACGACAUUUAUCCAUCAUCACAUAUUCUAGACUCCUGUUGUGUCUCACGUUAAACUGAAUGUCUUUAAAAGCUCCUGUGUGUCCUCCAUCCACCCCGACCUCCUCCCGUCCUCACACCAGCACUUAUGUCCACUCUGGAGACAACAGACCAUGGACACUACUGGACACGCUGUGAAGCUGAAUGUUUGACAUGUCACAGUCAUUUGUAUUUUUCAAUAAAAAGGAUAAAAACUUGA
Long non-coding RNA from Mugil cephalus (flathead mullet), 1078 nucleotides. RefSeq lists it as uncharacterized. Lineage: Eukaryota; Metazoa; Chordata; Actinopteri; Mugiliformes; Mugilidae. The transcript is spliced from 3 exons. The record is from RefSeq and is a predicted model, not a curated record.